CAGCCGUAAACUAUGCUCGCUAGGUGUCAGGCAUGGCGCGACCGUGUCUGGUGCCGCAGGGAAGCCGUGAAGCGAGCCACCUGGGAAGUACGGCCGCAAGGCUGAAACUUAAAGGAAUUGGCGGGGGAGCACAACAACGGGUGGAGCCUGCGGUUUAAUUGGACUCAACGCCGGGAAGCUCACCGGAUAAGACAGCGGAAUGAUUGCCGGGCUGAAGACUCUGCAUGACUAGCUGAGAGGUGUGCAUGGCGUAGACGUCU
RNAcentral lists this ribosomal RNA (260 nucleotides) under uncultured archaeon. RNAcentral describes it as "partial 16S ribosomal RNA". It matches the Rfam family "Archaeal small subunit ribosomal RNA", at positions 748 to 1009 of the family's 1478-position model. The record is from RNAcentral.